Molecule: ribosomal RNA, 310 nt
Filed under: uncultured Tomentella
Lineage: Eukaryota; Fungi; Basidiomycota; Agaricomycetes; Thelephorales; Thelephoraceae
Description: eukaryotic LSU rRNA
Source: RNAcentral
AACGCACCUUGCGCCCUCUGGUUAUUCCGGAGGGCAUGCCUGUUUGAGUAUCAUGAACACCUCAACUCCCAUGGUUUGCCAUGGCAGCUUGGACUUUGGAGGCUUUGCUGGCUUAUACUCAGCUCCUCUCAAAUGAAUCAGCUUUCCAGUGUCUGGUGGUUCACGGGUGUGAUAAUUAUCUACACCUGUGGUUUUCUGCUGGGUAACCUUCAGCGAUGAAGGUUCACUGGGGCUCAUAGAUGUCCUCCUCAGCGAGGACAGCUCUUUGAACGUUUGAUCUCAAAUCAGGUAGGACUACCCGCUGAACUUA